CCUACGGGUGGCAGCAGUGAGGAAUAUUUGUCAAUGGGCGCGAGCCUGAACCAGCCAAGCAGCGUGAAGGAUGACUGCUCUACGGGUUGUAACCUCCUUUUAUAAAGGAAUAAAGUGAGGCACGUGUGCCAUAUUGUACGUACUUUAUGAAUUAGGAUCGGCUAACUCCGUGCCAGCAGCCGCGGUAAUACGGAGGAUCCGAGCGUUAUCCGGAUUUAUUGGGUUUAAAGGGAGCGUAGAUGGGUUGGUAAGUCAGUUGUGAAAGUUUGCGGCUCAACCGUAAAAUUGCAAUUGAUACUGGCAGUCUUGAGUACAGUAGAGGUAGGCGGAAUUCGUGGUGUAGCGGUGAAAUGCUUAGAUAUCACGAGGAACACCAGUUGCGAAGGCAGCUUACUAAACUGCCACUGACAUUGAUGCUCGAAAGUGUGGGUAUCAAACAGGAUUAGAUACCCUUGUAGUC
RNAcentral lists this ribosomal RNA (460 nucleotides) under uncultured bacterium. Its description in RNAcentral is "partial 16S ribosomal RNA". It matches the Rfam family "Bacterial small subunit ribosomal RNA", at positions 338 to 795 of the family's 1533-position model. The record is from RNAcentral.